RNAcentral lists this ribosomal RNA (456 nucleotides) under uncultured bacterium. Its description in RNAcentral is "bacterial SSU rRNA". It matches the Rfam family "Bacterial small subunit ribosomal RNA", at positions 340 to 786 of the family's 1533-position model. The record is from RNAcentral.
UACGGGAGGCAGCAGUGGGGAAUAUUGCACAAUGGGCGCAAGCCUGAUGCAGCCAUGCCGCGUGUAUGAAGAAGGCCUUCGGGUUGUAAAGUACUUUCAGUCGUGAGGAAGGUGUUAAGGUUAAUAACCUUAGCAAUUGACGUUAGCGACAGAAGAAGCACCGGCUAACUCCGUGCCAGCAGCCGCGGUAAUACGGAGGGUGCGAGCGUUAAUCGGAAUUACUGGGCGUAAAGGGCACGCAGGCGGUUAAUUAAGUUGGAUGUGAAAUCCCCGGGCUUAACCUGGGAAUGGCAUUCAAGACUGGUUAGCUAGAGUCUUGUAGAGGGGGUAGAAUUCCAUGUGUAGCGGUGAAAUGCGUAGAGAUGUGGAGGAAUACCGGUGGCGAAGGCGGCCCCUGGACAAAGACUGACGCUCAUGUGCGAAAAGCGUGGGGAGCAAAACGAGGGAUUAGAUACC